GACGAACGCUGGCGGCGUGCUUAACACAUGCAAGUCGAACGGAAAGGCCCUGCUUUUGUGGGGUGCUCGAGUGGCGAACGGGUGAGUAACACGUGAGUAACCUGCCCUUGACUUUGGGAUAACUUCAGGAAACUGGGGCUAAUACCGGAUAGGAGCUCCUGCUGCAUGGAGGGGGUUGGAAAGUUUCGGCUGUUGGGGAUGGACUCGCGGCUUAUCAGCUUGUUGGUGGGGUAGUGGCUUACCAAGGGUGUGACGGGUAGCCGGCCUGAGAGGGUGACCGGCCACAUUGGGACUGCGAGACGGCCCAGACUCCUACGGGAGGCAGCAGUGGGGAAUAUUGCACAAUGGGCGGAAGCCUGAUGCAGCAACGCCGCGUGCGGGAUGACGGCCUUCGGGUUGUAAACCGCUUUCGCCUGUGACGAAGCGUGAGUGACGGUAAUGGGUGAAGAAGCACCGGCUAACUACGUG
This 468-nucleotide ribosomal RNA is filed under the name uncultured bacterium. Its description in RNAcentral is "partial 16S ribosomal RNA". It matches the Rfam family "Bacterial small subunit ribosomal RNA", at positions 28 to 507 of the family's 1533-position model. The record is from RNAcentral.